AAAUGCAUUUACUGUAAGUCGCUCUAGAUAAGAGCAUCUGCUAAAUGACUAAAA
This is a non-coding RNA of Salmo salar (Atlantic salmon), 54 nucleotides long. The record is from Rfam. NCBI's taxonomy places the organism in Eukaryota, Metazoa, Chordata, Actinopteri, Salmoniformes, Salmonidae.